Molecule: unclassified non-coding RNA, 314 nt
Filed under: plant metagenome
Description: partial contains 5.8S ribosomal RNA, internal transcribed spacer 2, and large subunit ribosomal RNA
Rfam family: 5.8S ribosomal RNA (bases 1-105)
Source: RNAcentral
GAAAUGCGAUAAUUAAUGUGAAUUGCAGAAUUCAGUGAAUCAUCGAGUCUUUGAACGCACAUUGCGCCCCCUGGUAUUCCGGGGGGCAUGCCUGUCCGAGCGUCAUUGCUGCCCUCAAGCACGGCUUGUGUGUUGGGCUUCCGUCCCUGGCAACGGGGGCGGGCCCAAAAGGCAGUGGCGGCACCAUGUCUGGUCCUCGAGCGUAUGGGGCUUUGUCACCCGCUCCCGUAGGUCCAGCUGGCAGCUAGCCUCGCAACCAAUCUUUUUAACCAGGUUGACCUCUGAUCAGGUAGGGAUACCCGCUGAACUUAAGC